This 498-nucleotide ribosomal RNA is filed under the name uncultured bacterium. RNAcentral describes it as "partial 16S ribosomal RNA". It matches the Rfam family "Bacterial small subunit ribosomal RNA", at positions 30 to 523 of the family's 1533-position model. The record is from RNAcentral.
AUUGAACGCUGGCGGCAUGCCUUACACAUGCAAGUCGAACGGUAACAGGUCUUCGGAUGCUGACGAGUGGCGAACGGGUGAGUAAUACAUCGGAACGUGCCUAGUAGUGGGGGAUAACUACUCGAAAGAGUGGCUAAUACCGCAUGAGAUCUACGGAUGAAAGCAGGGGAUCGCAAGACCUUGUGCUACUAGAGCGGCCGAUGGCAGAUUAGGUAGUUGGUGGGACAAAAGCUUACCAAGCCGACGGUCUGUAGCUGGUCUGAGAGGACGAUCAGCCACACUGGGACUGAGACACGGCCCAGACUCCUACGGGAGGCAGCAGUGGGGAAUUUUGGACAAUGGGCGCAAGCCUGAUCCAGCAAUGCCGCGUGCAGGAUGAAGGCCUUCGGGUUGUAAACUGCUUUUGUACGGAACGAAAAGCCCCGGGUUAAUACCCUGGGGUCAUGACGGUACCGUAAGAAUAAGCACCGGCUAACUACGUGCCAGCCGCCGCCGUAA